CACCGAAGCUGCGGCAGCGACACUAUGUGUUGUUGGGUAGGGGAGCGUUCUGUAAGCCUGCGAAGGUGUGCUGUGAGGCAUGCUGGAGGUAUCAGAAGUGCGAAUGCUGACAUAAGUAACGAUAAAGCGGGUGAAAAGCCCGCUCGCCGGAAGACCAAGGGUUCCUGUCCAACGUUAAUCGGGGCAGGGUGAGUCGACCCCUAAGGCGAGGCCGAAAGGCGUAGUCGAUGGGAAACAGGUUAAUAUUCCUGUACUUGGUGUUACUGCGAAGGGGGGACGGAGAAGGCUAUGUUAGCCGGGCGACGGUUGUCCCGGUUUAAGCAUGUAGGCUGGUUAUCCAGGCAAAUCCGGAUAAUCAAGGCUGAGGUGUGAUGACGAGGCACUACGGUGCUGAAGUAACAAAUGCCCUGCUUCCAGGAAAAGCCUCUAAGCAUCAGGUAACAUCAAAUCGUACCCCAAACCGACACAGGUGGUCAGGUAGAGAAUACCAAGGCGCUUGAGAGAACUCGGGUGAAGGAACUAGGCAAAAUGGUGCCGUAACUUCGGGAGAAGGCACGCUGGUGUGUAGGUGAAGUCCCUGCGGAUGGAGCUGAGACCAGUCGAAGAUACCAGCUGGCUGCAACUGUUUAUUAAAAACACAGCACUGUGCAAACACGAAAGUGGACGUAUACGGUGUGACGCCUGCCCGGUGCCGGAAGGUUAAUUGAUGGGGUUAUCCGUAAGGAGAAGCUCUUGAUCGAAGCCCCGGUAAACGGCGGCCGUAACUAUAACGGUCCUAAGGUAGCGAAAUUCCUUGUCGGGUAAGUUCCGACCUGCACGAAUGGCGUAAUGAUGGCCAGGCUGUCUCCACCCGAGACUCAGUGAAAUUGAACUCGCUGUGAAGAUGCAGUGUACCCGCGGCAAGACGGAAAGACCCCGUGAACCUUUACUAUAGCUUGACACUGAACAUUGAGCCUUGAUGUGUAGGAUAGGUGGGAGGCUUUGAAGCGUGGACGCCAGUCUGCGUGGAGCCAACCUUGAAAUACCACCCUUUAAUGUUUGAUGUUCUAACGUUGGCCCCUGACCGGGGUUGCGGACAGUGUCUGGUGGGUAGUUUGACUGGGGCGGUCUCCUCCCAAAGCGUAACGGAGGAGCACGAAGGUUAGCUAAUCCUGGUCGGACAUCAGGAGGUUAGUGCAAUGGCAUAAGCUAGCUUGACUGCGAGCGUGACGGCGCGAGCAGGUGCGAAAGCAGGUCAUAGUGAUCCGGUGGUUCUGAAUGGAAGGGCCAUCGCUCAACGGAUAAAAGGUACUCCGGGGAUAACAGGCUGAUACCGCCCAAGAGUUCAUAUCGACGGCGGUGUUUGGCACCUCGAUGUCGGCUCAUCACAUCCUGGGGCUGAAGUAGGUCCCAAGGGUAUGGCUGUUCGCCAUUUAAAGUGGUACGCGAGCUGGGUUUAGAACGUCGUGAGACAGUUCGGUCCCUAUCUGCCGUGGGCGCUGGAGAAUUGAGGGGGGCUGCUCCUAGUACGAGAGGACCGGAGUGGACGCAUCACUGGUGUUCGGGUUGUCAUGCCAAUGGCACUGCCCGGUAGCUAAAUGCGGAAGAGAUAAGUGCUGAAAGCAUCUAAGCACGAAACUUGCCCCGAGAUGAGUUCUCCCUGAGACUAUAAGUCUCCUGAAGGAACGUUAAAGACGAUGACGUUGAUAGGCCGGGUGUGUAAGCGCAGCGAUGCGUUGAGCUAACCGGUACUAAUGAACCGUGAGGCUUAACCUU
RNAcentral lists this ribosomal RNA (1755 nucleotides) under Klebsiella pneumoniae UCI 19. Its description in RNAcentral is "bacterial LSU rRNA". It matches the Rfam family "Bacterial large subunit ribosomal RNA", at positions 1192 to 2925 of the family's 2925-position model. The record is from RNAcentral. Lineage: Bacteria; Pseudomonadati; Pseudomonadota; Gammaproteobacteria; Enterobacterales; Enterobacteriaceae.